RNAcentral lists this ribosomal RNA (235 nucleotides) under uncultured bacterium. RNAcentral's name for it is "partial 16S ribosomal RNA". It matches the Rfam family "Bacterial small subunit ribosomal RNA", at positions 96 to 334 of the family's 1533-position model. The record is from RNAcentral.
UGGCGGACGGGUGAGUAAUGUCUGGGAAACUGCCCGAUGGAGGGGGAUAACUACUGGGAACGGUAGCUAAUACCGCAUAAUGUCGCAAGACCAAAGAGGGGGACCUUCGGGCCUCUUGCCAUCGGAUGUGCCCAGAUGGGAUUAGCUAGUAGGUGGGGUAACGGCUCACCUAGGCGACGACCCCUAGCUGGUCUGAGAGGAUGACCAGCCACACUGGAACUGAGACACGGUCCAG